Molecule: ribosomal RNA, 460 nt
Filed under: uncultured bacterium
Lineage: Bacteria
Description: bacterial SSU rRNA
Rfam family: Bacterial small subunit ribosomal RNA
Source: RNAcentral
AGAGAAUAGAUACCCUGGUAGUCCACGCCCUAAACUAUGAUCACUCGAUGUUGGCGAUACACUGUCAGCGUCUAAGGGAAACCAUUAAGUGAUCCACCUGGGGAGUACGGUCGCAAGACUGAAACUCAAAGGAAUUGACGGGGGCCCGCACAAGCGGAGGAGCAUGUGGUUUAAUUCGAUGAUACGCGAGGAACCUUACCUGGGCUUGAAAGUUAGUGAAUCUCCCGGAAACGGGGAGGCCGAAAGGACACGAAACUAGGUGCUGCAUGGCUGUCGUCAGCUCGUGCCGUGAGGUGUUGGGUUAAGUCCCGCAACGAGCGCAACCCUAUCAUUAGUUGCCAACAGGUAAUGCUGGGGUACGUCUAAUGAGACUGCCUGCGCAAGCAGUGAGGAAGGUGGGGUAUGACGUCAAGUCAUCACGGCCCGUUACGUCCAGGGCUACACACGUGCUACAAUGGAU